Molecule: unclassified non-coding RNA, 253 nt
Filed under: uncultured Pirellulaceae bacterium
Lineage: Bacteria; Pseudomonadati; Planctomycetota; Planctomycetia; Pirellulales; Pirellulaceae
Description: contains 16S-23S intergenic spacer region
Rfam family: Bacterial small subunit ribosomal RNA
Source: RNAcentral
GACGAACCGUCCAAACGUUAUUCGGAAUUAUUGGGCUUAAAGGGUGCGUAGGCGGCGCUGAAAGUUGGGUGUGAAAUCCCUCGGCUCAACCGAGGAAUAGCGCCCAAAACUGCAGUGCUUGAGAGAGAUAGGGGGGAGCGGAACUACGGGUGGAGCGGUGAAAUGCGUUGACAUCCGUAGGAACACCGGUGGCGAAAGCGGCUCACUGGAUCUCUACUGACGCUGAGGCACGAAAGCCAGGGGAGCGAACGGG